UAUCUCAUUUGAUUUUCCUAAUAACCUUCAAAAAUAGCUAUUAUCAUUUCCAUUUUCAGAUGAGGAAAUCAAGGUUCAAAGAAUACUUUCUGUAGCCCUCAGCUCGCCUGUCUCCAAAGCCUGGUCCUUACUGCAUCUGAUGUGUGCAAUGCCCACCAUGUAACAGGCACCGAUGGUGGCAUCGUCAGAAGUGUGUCAUCUUCUGUGGGAUACACUUGGCCUCAGGCUGGCAGAGCAGGGUGGGGUUAAUGGUGGAAAGAACCAGUUACAGUGUGGUUUCAUGUUUUCAGACAAAUAUUUUGGAAGAGGCAGGGCCCACAGAUACGUGCAAUUUUCUGUAAUUGUGAUUGGUACAGUUCCGGGUGGUAAUUAGGGAACAGAUUCAGGCACCAGCAAGUAGUUUUGCUCCUGUGUCCUGAGAAGGACUGUGGGGGCAGUUCUGAAUUCAUGGACAGGAGGAAACUUUGUAAUAUAUUAAUUCAUUCACUCAUUCCAAUUACUCCUGGGUAAUUCUUUUUCUAUCUGUGGCUCCGUCUGGGUCUGAAGCAAGCUUCUUGGAUCCAUGGCUAGAGAGCUUUUCUAGUUUGGUUUCUGGAGACAAGUCACCCUUGGUAAUUCCUGGCUUCAUGCCAGUGGCUCCUUCUAGCUCCCAGCCUCUCCUGGCCCAGCAGCCUGGGCUCCUUGUCCAGUCCAGACCCCCAAUCCCUGCCCAGAUGUCCCGACCUAUUUUUGACUCUGUAAGGCUUUAGAUUGUUUUUAAUACUUUAGCUACGGUUCACUGCUUUAUGUCACCCCCUUUUCUCUGGUUUCUCUCUGUUUGGUUUUGAGAUCGGCUCUGUAACAAAAUUCUGUUUUUGGAUUUCCAUCCAUUUGGGGUAGGAUGGCCUUUCUCAUCAUGUCAGUCUUCCACAUCGACUAGACUGUCUAUUUAUUUUUACCUUUUCCUUUGGGGCCUAAUUGUGAUGGGCUGGAUGUCUGUGUGCCACUCCCCACCAACAGUUCACAUGCUGAAGCCCUACUCCCCAGUGUGAUGGUAUUAGGAGGCGGGGCCUUGGGGAGGUGAUUAGGUCAUGCGGAAAGAGCCUUCAUGAAUGGGAUUAGUGUUCUUAUGAGAAGAAAUAAAAGAACUCUCUCUCUCUCCCCCACCUCCCUCUUCCCGCACCCGGUGAAGAUACAACGAGAAGAAAGCCUUCCAUAAGCCAAGAAGAGAGCUCUCACCAAGAGCUUGACUAUCUGGCCCUCUGACCUUGGACUUCAGCCCCUGGAACUGCACUCUACCGGGGCAGCCCCAACCACACCCUCUAAGGAGCUGCAGGUCUGCUCUUGUCUCCUGUCUUCCCUGGGUUUCUGGAGACCUCAGGGUGAAUGUGAUGUUGGCCUUCCUCCGUGGACGCUCCCCAGCUGUGGGUACAAAGUCCUUUGUCUCAAGCCGACUGUUGGAAUUCAGGGAUCUUCACCCAUCUUUGCCGGGGAUUAUCCUACUGUAUCGGUUUUUCAGGACUGCCAAAAACAAAGAACCACAGACUGGGUUGCUCAAACAGCAGAAAUGUAUUUUGUCACAAUUCUGGAGUCUGGACGUCCAAGAGCAAGCCUCGCUGUCCUCAAAGAGACAGGGAAGCCAUCAACAGCAAUAAUACAAAUAUUUCAUGACGGACUUCAACCAGUCAAAAUGGACUAUGGCUGCUGUGCCUUAUGGGUGUAUCCUGGUGGACACCUGCCCUGCCCUCAGCUCUAACCGCUCAGACUCUGAGAAGCCCUUUUGAGGUUGAAACAGAGGAAGCGUUGCUCAAGUAAAGCUAAUUGUGUUGUCUUUGUCUCUUUUGAUAAGUGGCUUUGUGUCACAUUAGAUCUCUCUGAAAUUAUAUUCUAUGCAUAAAACCACUUCUUUUUAAAAUUUCUCUUUAUAAAUUACUUCAAUCUGUCUUUGAACACAGAAGAAAAUAUAGGAGAAAGGAUAUAGGGAAGGGAUGGCUCAAUGUGUCUACAUUUUGGGGUGACUGACAAAGCUUGCUCCUUCUCCAAGUUCUCUGGGUGGCCUGAAUGAAGAGAAGGG
Molecule: non-coding RNA, 2053 nt
Organism: Vicugna pacos (alpaca)
Lineage: Eukaryota; Metazoa; Chordata; Mammalia; Artiodactyla; Camelidae
Source: RefSeq, a predicted model, not a curated record